CGAGCGAAACGGGAAGAGCCCAAACCAACAAGCUUGCUUGUUGGGGUUGUAGGACUCCGAUAUGGUAGUCUGUUAGUAUAGUUGAAGGAUUUGGAAAAUUCCGCUAAAGAGGGUGAAAGCCCCGUAGACGAAAUGCUAACAACACCUAGGAGGAUCCUGAGUACGGCGGAACACGAGAAAUUCCGUCGGAAUCCGCGGGGACCAUCCCGCAAGGCUAAAUACUCCCUAGUGACCGAUAGUGAACCAGUACCGUGAGGGAAAGGUGAAAAGCACCCCGGAAGGGGAGUGAAAUAGAUCCUGAAACCGUGUGCCUACAACAAGUCAAAGCUCGUUAAUGAGUGAUGGCGUGCCUUUUGUAGAAUGAACCGGCGAGUUACGAUUGCAUGCGAGGUUAAGUCGAAGAGACGGAGCCGUAGCGAAAGCGAGUCUGAAUAGGGCGAAUGAGUAUGUAGUCGUAGACCCGAAACCAUGUGAUCUACCCAUGUCCAGGUUGAAGGUGCGGUAAAACGCACUGGAGGACCGAACCCACGUACGUUGAAAAGUGCGGGGAUGAGGUGUGGGUAGCGGAGAAAUUCCAAACGAACUUGGAGAUAGCUGGUUCUCUCCGAAAUAGCUUUAGGGCUAGCCUCGGAAUUGAGAAUGAUGGAGGUAGAGCACUGUUUGGACUAGGGGCCCAUCUCGGGUUACCGAAUUCAGAUAAACUCCGAAUGCCAUUCAUUUAUAUCCGGGAGUCAGACUGCGAGUGAUAAGAUCCGUAGUCGAAAGGGAAACAGCCCAGACCACCAGCUAAGGUCCCAAAAUAUAUGUUAAGUGGAAAAGGAUGUGGGGUUGCACAGACAACUAGGAUGUUGGCUUAGAAGCAGCCACCAUUUAAAGAGUGCGUAAUAGCUCACUAGUCGAGUGACCCUGCGCCGAAAAUGUACCGGGGCUAAACAUAUUACCGAAGCUGUGGACUACACCAUUAGGUGUAGUGGUAGGAGAGCGUUCUAAGGGCGUUGAAGGUCGAUCGUGAGGACGGCUGGAGCGCUUAGAAGUGAGAAUGCCGGUAUGAGUAGCGAAAGACAGGUGAGAAUCCUGUCCACCGUAUGACUAAGGUUUCCUGGGGAAGGCUCGUCCGCCCAGGGUUAGUCGGGACCUAAGCCGAGGCCGAUAGGCGUAGGCGAUGGACAACAGGUUGAUAUUCCUGUACCAGUUGUUUUUGUUUGAGCAAUGGAGGGACGCAGUAGGCUAAGGAAUGCAUGCGAUUGGAAGUGCAUGUCCAAGCAAUGAGUCUUGAGUAGAGUUAAAUGCUUUACUCUUUAAGGACAAGUUGUGACGGGGAGCGAAAUAAUAGUAGCGAAGUUCCUGAUGUCACACUGCCAAGAAAAGCUUCUAGUGAGAAAACAACUGCCCGUACCGUAAACCGACACAGGUAGUCGAGGAGAGUAUCCUAAGGUGAGCGAGCGAACUCUCGUUAAGGAACUCGGCAAAAUGACCCCGUAACUUCGGGAGAAGGGGUGCUGACUUCGGUCAGCCGCAGUGAAUAGGCCCAAGCGACUGUUUAUCAAAAACACAGGUCUCUGCAAAAUCGUAAGAUGAAGUAUAGGGGCUGACGCCUGCCCGGUGCUGGAAGGUUAAGAGGAUGGGUUAGCUUCGGCGAAGCUCAGAAUUGAAGCCCCAGUAAACGGCGGCCGUAACUAUAACGGUCCUAAGGUAGCGAAAUUCCUUGUCGGGUAAGUUCCGACCCGCACGAAAGGCGUAACGAUUUGGGCACUGUCUCAACGAGAGACUCGGUGAAAUUUUAGUACCUGUGAAGAUGCAGGUUACCCGCGACAGGACGGAAAGACCCCAUGGAGCUUUACUGUAGUUUGAUAUUGAGUGUUUGUACCACAUGUACAGGAUAGGUAGGAGCCGAUGAGACCGGAACGCUAGUUUCGGAGGAGGCGCUGGUGGGAUACUACCCUUGUGUUAUGAACCCUCUAACCCGCACCACUAAUCGUGGUGGGAGACAGUGUCAGAUGGGCAGUUUGACUGGGGCGGUCGCCUCCUAAAAGGUAACGGAGGCGCCCAAAGGUUCCCUCAGAAUGGUUGGAAAUCAUUCGAAGAGUGUAAAGGCAGAAGGGAGCUUGACUGCGAGACCUACAAGUCGAGCAGGGACGAAAGUCGGGCUUAGUGAUCCGGUGGUUCCGCAUGGAAGGGCCAUCGCUCAACGGAUAAAAGCUACCCUGGGGAUAACAGGCUUAUCUCCCCCAAGAGUCCACAUCGACGGGGAGGUUUGGCACCUCGAUGUCGGCUCGUCGCAUCCUGGGGCUGUAGUCGGUCCCAAGGGUUGGGCUGUUCGCCCAUUAAAGCGG
This 2333-nucleotide ribosomal RNA is filed under the name human gut metagenome. Its description in RNAcentral is "bacterial LSU rRNA". It matches the Rfam family "Bacterial large subunit ribosomal RNA", at positions 250 to 2596 of the family's 2925-position model. The record is from RNAcentral.